AUUGAACGCUGGCGGCAUGCCUUACACAUGCAAGUCGAACGGCAGCACGGGAGCAAUCCUGGUGGCGAGUGGCGAACGGGUGAGUAAUAUAUCGGAACGUGCCCAGUCGUGGGGGAUAACGCAGCGAAAGCUGUGCUAAUACCGCAUACGAUCUAAGGAUGAAAGCGGGGGAUCGCAAGACCUCGCGCGAUUGGAGCGGCCGAUAUCAGAUUAGCUAGUUGGUGGGGUAAAGGCCCACCAAGGCGACGAUCUGUAGCUGGUCUGAGAGGACGACCAGCCACACUGGAACUGAGACACGGUCCAGACUCCUACGGGAGGCAGCAGUGGGGAAUUUUGGACAAUGGGCGAAAGCCUGAUCCAGCAAUGCCGCGUGCAGGAAGAAGGCCUUCGGGUUGUAAACUGCUUUUGUACGGAGCGAAAAGGUCUCCUCUAAUACAGGGGGCUCAUGACGGUACCGUAAGAAUAAGCACCGGCUAACUUCCUGCCAGCCGCCGCAGUAA
This 500-nucleotide ribosomal RNA is filed under the name uncultured bacterium. RNAcentral describes it as "partial 16S ribosomal RNA". It matches the Rfam family "Bacterial small subunit ribosomal RNA", at positions 30 to 523 of the family's 1533-position model. The record is from RNAcentral.